This 410-nucleotide ribosomal RNA is filed under the name uncultured bacterium. Its description in RNAcentral is "bacterial SSU rRNA". It matches the Rfam family "Bacterial small subunit ribosomal RNA", at positions 64 to 495 of the family's 1533-position model. The record is from RNAcentral.
GAACGAGAAAGUCCGCAAGGAUGAGUACAGUGGCGUACGGGUGAGUAACACGUGGAUUAUCUACCCUUUAGUGGGGAAUACCGCUGGGAAACCGGCGACAAUACCGCAUAAGCCCGAGAGGGGAAAGCGUCUUUGUGAAAGCAGAGACGCGCUGAAGGAGGAGUCCGCGGUCGAUUAGCUAGUUGGUAGGGUAAUGGCCUACCAAGGCUGUGAUCGAUAGCCGGCCUGAGAGGGCACACGGCCACACUGGCACUGAAACACGGGCCAGACUCCCUACGGGAGGCAGCAGUGGGGAAUCUUGCACAAUGGGGGAAACCCUGAUGCAGCGACGCCGCGUGAGCGAUGAAGCCUUUCGGGGUGUAAAGCUCUUUCGGCAGGGAAGAUGAGACGGUACCUCAGAAACAGUGCGG